AUGGAAGAGUCGGGCAAGGAGCAGUCGCCAAACUCAAGCUCCUCCCAGUCUCAGUACAGGGGCGUGAGGAAGAGGAAAUGGGGCAAGUGGGUGUCGGAGAUCCGGCAGCCCGGCACCAAGACCCGCAUUUGGCUCGGCAGCUUCGAGUCGGCCGAGAUGGCCGCGGUGGCGCACGACGUGGCGGCGCUGCGGCUGCGCGGCCGGGACGCGCAGCUCAACUUCCCGGGGUCGGUGGACCGGCUGCCCCGGCCGGCGAGCUCGCACCCGGACGACGUCCGCGCCGCGGCGGCGGAGGCGGCCGAGCUCGUGCGGGGCGAGCCAGCACUGGUGGCGCGGGGGGCAGCCGAGUGCCCCGGGUGGGAGCUGGUGGACGGGAGGGGGAGCGACGAGGAGUUCGAGGUGGACUCGCCCAGGCUAUGGGCCGAGAUGGCGGAGGCCAUGCUGCUGGAGCCGCCAGCAUGGGCCACGGGCGCCAGCGAGAUGGACCAGGCCGCGCACUGCUGGUCGCACGGGUCCCUCUGGGACGCCUACUAA
This 534-nucleotide ribosomal RNA is filed under the name Triticum aestivum (bread wheat). RNAcentral's name for it is "partial small subunit ribosomal RNA". The record is from RNAcentral. Lineage: Eukaryota; Viridiplantae; Streptophyta; Magnoliopsida; Poales; Poaceae.